RNAcentral lists this unclassified non-coding RNA (642 nucleotides) under Pythium myriotylum. RNAcentral describes it as "partial contains ITS1, 5.8S rRNA and ITS2". The stretch from base 98 to 252 matches the Rfam family "5.8S ribosomal RNA". Lineage: Eukaryota; Oomycota; Peronosporomycetes; Pythiales; Pythiaceae. The record is from RNAcentral.
CUGCUGUUAUGGCGGACUGCCGAUGUAUUUUUCAAACCCAUUUACUUAAUACUGAACUAUACUCCGAGAACGAAAGUUUUUGGUUUUAAUCCAUAACAACUUUCAGCAGUGGAUGUCUAGGCUCGCACAUCGAUGAAGAACGCUGCGAACUGCGAUACGUAAUGCGAAUUGCAGAAUUCAGUGAGUCAUCGAAAUUUUGAACGCACAUUGCACUUUCGGGUUAUGCCUGGAAGUAUGCUUGUAUCAGUGUCCGUACAUCAAACUUGCCUUUCUUUUCUUGUGUAGUCAAGAUUAGAGAUGGCAGAAUGUGAGGUGUCUCGCUGGCUCCCUCUUCGGAGGAGAAGACGCGAGUCCCUUUAAAUGUACGUUCGCUCUUUCUUGUGUCUAAGAUGAAGUGUGACUUUCGAACGCAGUGAUCUGUUUGGAUCGCUCUGCGCGAGUGGGCGACUUCGGUUAGGACAUUAAAGGAAGCAACCUCUAUUGGCGGUAUGUUAGGCUUCGGCCCGACUUUGCAGCUGACGGGGUGUUGUUUUCUGUUCUUUCCUUGAGGUGUACCUGUCUUGUGUGGGGCAAUGGUCUGGGCAAAUGGUUGUUGUGUAGUAGAAUUUUGCUGCUCUUGGGCGCCCUUUAUGGGUAAAGAAG